RNAcentral lists this transfer RNA (73 nucleotides) under Lymantria sp. AN-2017. RNAcentral's name for it is "tRNA-Leu". Lineage: Eukaryota; Metazoa; Arthropoda; Insecta; Lepidoptera; Erebidae. The record is from RNAcentral.
ACUAUUUUGGCAGAUUAAAUGUGAUGAUUUUAGAAGUCAUUAAUAUAUAUAUAGAUAAAUUAUAUAGAUAGUA